Molecule: ribosomal RNA, 466 nt
Filed under: uncultured bacterium
Lineage: Bacteria
Description: partial 16S ribosomal RNA
Rfam family: Bacterial small subunit ribosomal RNA
Source: RNAcentral
GACGAACGCUGGCGGCGUGCUUAACACAUGCAAGUCGAACGAUGACGACCGAGCUUGCUCGGUCUGAUUAGUGGCGAACGGGUGAGUAACACGUGAGCAACCUGCCCUUCACUCUGGGAUAACCUCGGGAAAUCGGGGCUAAUACCGGAUAUGAGCUCCUGUCGCAUGGCGGGUGUUGGAAAGUUUUUCGGUGAAGGAUGGGCUCGCGGCCUAUCAGUUUGUUGGUGAGGUAGUGGCUCACCAAGGCGAUGACGGGUAGCCGGCCUGAGAGGGCGACCGGCCCCACUGGGACUGGGACACGGCCCAGCCCCCUCGGGGGGGCAGGGGUGGGGAAUUUUGCCCAAGGGGCGAAAGCCUGAUGCAGCGACCCCGGGGGGGGGAGGACGGCCUUGGGGUUGUAACCCCUUUUCAGCGGGGAAGAAGGGAAAGGGACGGUCCCUGCAGAAGAAGCCCCGGCAAACUACGU